GAGGGUCUAGCUCAGUGGUCGAGUGCAUGUUUAGCAUGCAUGAGGUCCUGAGUUCAAUCCCCAGUACCUCCA
This is a transfer RNA of Camelus ferus (Wild Bactrian camel), 72 nucleotides long. It matches the Rfam family "tRNA". From Rfam's summary of the family: Transfer RNA (tRNA) molecules are approximately 80 nucleotides in length. Their secondary structure includes four short double-helical elements and three loops (D, anti-codon, and T loops). The record is from Rfam. NCBI's taxonomy places the organism in Eukaryota, Metazoa, Chordata, Mammalia, Artiodactyla, Camelidae.